RNAcentral lists this ribosomal RNA (501 nucleotides) under uncultured bacterium. Its description in RNAcentral is "bacterial SSU rRNA". It matches the Rfam family "Bacterial small subunit ribosomal RNA", at positions 28 to 521 of the family's 1533-position model. The record is from RNAcentral.
GACGAACGCUGGCGGCGUGGAUUAGGCAUGCAAGUCGAACGGUAUCAUCCUUUCGGGGGUGAGAGAGUGGCGAACUGGUGAGUAACACGUAGGUUAUCUACCCUCAAGACGGGGACAACCCAGGGAAACUUGGGCUAAUACCGGAUGUGAGCAACUUUUAGUUGUUUGAAAGGUGGCGUAAGCUGUCGCUUGGGGAUGAGCCUGCGUCCUAUUAGUUAGUUGGUGAGGUAACGGCUCACCUAGACAAUGAUAGGUAGGCGGCCUUAACGGGUGGUCGCCCACACUGGGAUUGAGAUACGGCCCAGACUCCUACGGGAGGCAGCAGUCGAGAAUAGUCUACAAUGGUCGGAAGACUGAUAGUGCGACGCCGCGUGAACGAUGAAUCCCUUCGGGGUGUAAAGUUCUUUUAUAUGUGAGCAGUGCUUCUUAUAUUAACAGUAUGGGGAGAGAGAUAUUAGCAUAUGAAUAAGCAACGGCUAACUCCGUGCCAGCAGCCGCGGU